This 253-nucleotide ribosomal RNA is filed under the name uncultured bacterium. RNAcentral describes it as "partial 16S ribosomal RNA". It matches the Rfam family "Bacterial small subunit ribosomal RNA", at positions 524 to 776 of the family's 1533-position model. The record is from RNAcentral.
UACAGGGGGUGCAAACGUUGCUCGGAAUCAUUGGGCGUAAAGCGCACGUAGGCGGUUCGUUAUGUCGGAUGUGAAAGCCCUUGGCUUAACCGAGGAAGUGCAUCCGAAACUGGCGAGCUAGAGUACGAAAGAGGAUCGCGGAAUUCCCGGUGUAGAGGUGAAAUUCGUAGAUAUCGGGAGGAACACCGGUGGCGAAGGCGGCGAUCUGGGUCGAUACUGACGCUGAGGUGCGAAAGCGUGGGGAGCAGACAGG